RNAcentral lists this unclassified non-coding RNA (231 nucleotides) under plant metagenome. RNAcentral describes it as "partial contains small subunit ribosomal RNA, internal transcribed spacer 1, and 5.8S ribosomal RNA". The stretch from base 184 to 231 matches the Rfam family "5.8S ribosomal RNA", at positions 1 to 49 of the family's 154-position model. The record is from RNAcentral.
UCUCCGUUGGUGAACCAGCGGAGGGAUCAUUACAGGAUCGAAAGACUCCUAUAACCCCUGUGAACUUACUACAAAUACGUUGCUUCGGCGGGUACCCCGGGUCUCCCGGGGCGUUCAGCCCGCCGGCAGCCUUCAAAUUCUGUUUCUUUGCGUUGGCAUCUCGAGUAUACAAAAAUAAGUUAAAACUUUCAACAACGGAUCUCUUGGUUCUACAUCGAUGAAGAACGCAGC